UACGAAGGGGGCUAGCGUUGCUCGGAAUCACUGGGCGUAAAGCGCACGUAGGCGGCUUGUUAAGUCAGGGGUGAAAUCCUGGAGCUCAACUCCAGAACUGCCUUUGAUACUGGGAAGCUUGAGUCCGGAAGAGGUGAGUGGAACUGCGAGUGUAGAGGUGAAAUUCGUAGAUAUUCGCAAGAACACCAGUGGCGAAGGCGGCUCACUGGUCCGGUACUGACGCUGAGGUGCGAAAGCGUGGGGAGCAAACAGG
RNAcentral lists this ribosomal RNA (253 nucleotides) under uncultured bacterium. RNAcentral describes it as "partial 16S ribosomal RNA". It matches the Rfam family "Bacterial small subunit ribosomal RNA", at positions 524 to 776 of the family's 1533-position model. The record is from RNAcentral.